This 858-nucleotide ribosomal RNA is filed under the name Acinetobacter bohemicus. Its description in RNAcentral is "bacterial SSU rRNA". It matches the Rfam family "Bacterial small subunit ribosomal RNA", at positions 22 to 867 of the family's 1533-position model. The record is from RNAcentral. Lineage: Bacteria; Pseudomonadati; Pseudomonadota; Gammaproteobacteria; Moraxellales; Moraxellaceae.
GCUCAGAUUGAACGCUGGCGGCAGGCUUAACACAAGCAAGUCGAGCGGGGGAAGGUAGCUUGCUACCGGACCUAGCGGCGGACGGGUGAGUAAUGCUUAGGAAUCUGCCUAUUAGUGGGGGACAACAUCUCGAAAGGGAUGCUAAUACCGCAUACGUCCUACGGGAGAAAGCAGGGGAUCUUCGGACCUUGCGCUAAUAGAUGAGCCUAAGUCGGAUUAGCUAGUUGGUGGGGUAAAGGCCUACCAAGGCGACGAUCUGUAGCGGGUCUGAGAGGAUGAUCCGCCACACUGGGACUGAGACACGGCCCAGACUCCUACGGGAGGCAGCAGUGGGGAAUAUUGGACAAUGGGCGCAAGCCUGAUCCAGCCAUGCCGCGUGUGUGAAGAAGGCCUUAUGGUUGUAAAGCACUUUAAGCGAGGAGGAGGCUACUUUAGAUAAUACCUAGAGAUAGUGGACGUUACUCGCAGAAUAAGCACCGGCUAACUCUGUGCCAGCAGCCGCGGUAAUACAGAGGGUGCAAGCGUUAAUCGGAUUUACUGGGCGUAAAGCGCGCGUAGGCGGCUAAUUAAGUCAAAUGUGAAAUCCCCGAGCUUAACUUGGGAAUUGCAUUCGAUACUGGUUAGCUAGAGUGUGGGAGAGGAUGGUAGAAUUCCAGGUGUAGCGGUGAAAUGCGUAGAGAUCUGGAGGAAUACCGAUGGCGAAGGCAGCCAUCUGGCCUAACACUGACGCUGAGGUGCGAAAGCAUGGGGAGCAAACAGGAUUAGAUACCCUGGUAGUCCAUGCCGUAAACGAUGUGCUACUAGCCGUUGGGGCCUUUGAGGCUUUAGUGGCGCAGCUAACGGCGAUUAAAGGUAAGU